RNAcentral lists this small RNA (2740 nucleotides) under Arabidopsis thaliana (thale cress). RNAcentral describes it as "ATSL204640". The record is from RNAcentral. Lineage: Eukaryota; Viridiplantae; Streptophyta; Magnoliopsida; Brassicales; Brassicaceae.
GUCGAGUGUCUUCAUCUCAUCACCUGACCAUCACUCGAUCACAUCACUCGACCCCGAGGUCGAGUGUCUUCACCUUCAUCGCCAGACCACUACUCGAUCUCGCUACUCUAGCUUGAAGUCAAGUAUCUCCAUCACAACCACUCGACUACAAACUCGAUGGCAAGCUUCAGAGUCUUCUUCAUCCCGCACUCAACCAGACACUCGAGCACAAGGAAGAAAAGAAGACUCCAGCUAUUCACUCGACCUCCCACUCGACCACUUAGGUCGAGUACAGUUAUUAAUCCGUCCUAAUACUUCGUCGUUUUGAGUAUUAGGAUUUCAGAAUAUUUGGCUAUAAGUAGCAUGUACUUCACAUUUUCGCAAACAAGUUUUUAUCUAGUUUUAUUCCGCAGACACUGUGUUCUAGACCUUUUGUAAUCCGGAUUUCUCUUUAUCUAUUCAGUAUUCAGUAUUUAGCAUUUGUUCUUGAUUUCGUUUACUGUUGUUCAUUCUGUUAUCAUCCUGCUGUUACACUGUUGUUAUCAUGUUUUCAACUUGUUCAACGUUUAUGGUUUCUGUUAUGAUGUCUGAGUAGUGAAUAGGUUUCUGAGGAUGGGUUAGAGUAGUGUAGAAUUCUCGGUAUGCUAGGUGAUUGAGUAUUGAUUGAUAGAUCCCUUCUGGAUUAGUUGUUCUUAAUGCCUAUUGCUUUCUAAUCAACUGGAAUUUGAGCUGAGACAUUUCCGCGCCCAAAAGGUGUUCGAUGAAAUGUCUCAACCACUAAUUCCAGAGAUUCGUGACCCUGUACCAAGGUAUUGAUUGCAGGGAGCAUUUUGGCUUUAACUUGUUGAUUCGUAAUGCCUGUUAGGUUAGCUCUCGUCAAUGGUGAUUGAGUCUGGGACUAGGUUAACUUGAGGGUCUCUGUUGCGGUGGCACUUAGAUUUGGUUAAUGAACUUGUUAUCUAGGGUCAAUUUAUUGAGCAUGUCAAUCACCUGUAAACUGAGGAAACGAAACUACUCAAUUACCCCAUCCUCGGGAAUUCUUUAUCUGAUUGAAUUCUUUGUUUACUCUACUGUUGUUUACUGCAUCUUGUUAUCUGUCGCUUAAUUUCUGAAGUUCUUUCUUGUUACUCGACCUCAUACUCGACCACCCAGUUGUCUGGCAACAGACUGUGCAGUCGAGUAUCUGUGUUUUAUUUUCUGUCUUUUACUCAACCUCACUCAGUGCUCUGCAAGGAGCUGUGUUGGUCGAGUGUUUUAUUGUUUCUGCUUGAAUUUCUAUUUUCUGCAUGUUCACUUAGGACUGCUAGAACACACCAAAACCUGUUAUUGCUUGGCUUGACUUAGUGACUUCUGAUCACAUCUUGAUUGUUAGCAUCACACCCAUUUGGAUUGACAACUUUCAGUACUACAACGACAUGAUAGUGCUUUAGGUUUAAUUGACUAAAAAACCGAUUAUCAAUUUGGCGUCGUUGCCAAUUGGGUGUUUGUUUGUUACAUUUGAGAUUUCAGACUUGCUUAGAUCAAGUUCUUUUUCAAUUUUCAAAUCGGUUGCUAACUGUGUGUUUUUUUUGUUGUCUUCUUGAUCCAGCUACACCUCUGCUGUAUGCGAACUCAAUCAACAGGCAAUCAGAACCUCCUUUUCAACGACAAUAUCGACCGCAUAGCUCGCGAACUGAGAGAAAGGAGAAACACAGUCAACCUUGUACCUCAGCAACCACUCGAAAUGGCUGACGAACAGAAUCUACAAAAUGGCCCUGCAAACAUUGGUGCUGGAGAUGCACCACGUGAUCACCGUCAAAGGAAAGGAAUUGCACCUCCUGCUAUCCAAAACAACAACUUCGAGAUUAAGAGUGGUCUCAUCUCGAUGAUUCAGGGGAACAAAUUCCAUGGUCUACCAAUGGAGGAUCCACUCGAUCACCUUGAUGAAUUCGAGAGGCUCUGCAACCUAACAAAGAUUAAUGGUGUCAGUGAAGACGCAUUCAAGCUCCGUUUGUUUCCAUUCUCCUUGGGCGACUAAGCACACAUCUGGGAGAAGAAUUUGAACUACCUGGGAUGAUUGUAAGAAGGCUUUUCUAUCAAAGUUCUUGUCCUAUGCCAGAACUGCAAGACUAAGAAAUGAGAUUUCUGGUUUCUCACAAAAGACUGGUGAAAGCUUCUAUGAAGCAUGGGAGCGUUUCAAGGGUUACACCAACCAAUGCCCUCAUCAUGGCUUUACUAAAGCCUCUCUGCUCAGCACUCUUUACAGAGGAGUCCUACCACGCAUAAGAAUGCUUCUGGAUACCGCCAGCAAUGGAAAUUUCCAGAACAAAGAUGUUGAAGAAGGCUGGGAUUGGUUGAGAACCUUGCUCAAUCAGAUGGUAAUUACAACGAGGACUGCGAUAGGACCGUCGGAGGCACAUCUGACUCUGAUGACAAACACAGGAAGGAGAUCAAAGCGCUGAAUGACAAGCUGGACAGGAUUCUUCUUAGCCGGAAAAGCAUGUGCACUUCCUUGUUGAUGACGAGCAGUUUCAAGUCCAAGAUGGGGAGGGUAACCAGUUGGAAGAAGUCAGCUACAUCAACAACAACCAGUGUGGCUACAAAGGAUACAACAACUUCAAAACCAACAACCCCAACCUCUCCUACCGCACCACCAACGUCGCUAAUCCUCAGGAUCAGGUGUAUCCACCAUAGCAACAACAAGGUCAGAACAAACCUUUUGUUCCCUAUAACCAAGGUUUCGUUCCAAAGCAGCAAUUCCAGGGGAACUACCAGCCGCUAC